This 713-nucleotide ribosomal RNA is filed under the name uncultured bacterium. Its description in RNAcentral is "bacterial SSU rRNA". It matches the Rfam family "Bacterial small subunit ribosomal RNA", at positions 10 to 731 of the family's 1533-position model. The record is from RNAcentral.
AGUUUGAUCCUGGCUCAGGAUGAACGCUAGCGGCAGGCCUAAUACAUGCAAGUCGAACGGUGAUAGCAAUAUCAUAGUGGCGCACGGGUGCGUAACACGUAUGCAACCUACCUAUUAUUGGGGGAUAGCCUUUGGAAACGGAGAUUAAUACCGCAUAAUACGAUUGACUGGCAUCGGUUGAUUGUUAAAGCUUCGGCGAUAAUAGAUGGGCAUGCGUCCAAUUAGUUAGUUGGUUAGGUAACGGCUGACCAAGACGAUGAUUGGUAGGGGAUCUGAGAGGAUAAUCCCCCACACUGGCACUGAGAUACGGGCCAGACUCCUACGGGAGGCAGCAGUAGGGAAUAUUGGGCAAUGGGCGGAAGCCUGACCCAGCCAUGCCGCGUGCAGGAAGAAGGCGUUAUGCGUUGUAAACUGCUUUUUUAUAGGAAGAAGGAUCCCUUGCGAGGGAAGGUGACGGUACUAUAAGAAUAAGCACCGGCUAACUCCGUGCCAGCAGCCGCGGUAAUACGGAGGGUGCAAGCGUUGUCCGGAUUUAUUGGGUUUAAAGGGUGCGUAGGCGGUUUAUUAAGUCAGUGGUGAAAGACGGUCGCUCAACGAUUGCAGUGCCAUUGAUACUGGUAGACUUGAGUGAGAUUGAGGUAGCUGGAAUGGAUAGUGUAGCGGUGAAAUGCAUAGAUAUUAUCCAGAACACCGAUUGCGAAGGCAGGUUACUA